RNAcentral lists this ribosomal RNA (446 nucleotides) under uncultured bacterium. RNAcentral describes it as "partial 16S ribosomal RNA". It matches the Rfam family "Bacterial small subunit ribosomal RNA", at positions 338 to 795 of the family's 1533-position model. The record is from RNAcentral.
CCUACGGGAGGCAGCAGUCGAGAAUCAUUCACAAUGGGGGAAACCCUGAUGGUGCGACGCCGCGUGGGGGAAUGAAGGUCUUCGGAUUGUAAACCCCUGUCAUGUGGGAGAAAAUUAAAAAGAUAGUACCACAAGAGGAAGAGACGGCUAACUCUGUGCCAGCAGCCGCGGUACUACAGAGGUCUCAAGCGUUGUUCGGAAUCACUGGGCGUAAAGCGUGCGUAGGCUGUUUCGUAAGUCGUGUGUGAAAGGCGCGGGCUCAACCCGCGGACGGCACAUGAUACUGCGAGACUAGAGUAAUGGAGGGGGAACCGGAAUUCUCGGUGUAGCAGUGAAAUGCGUAGAUAUCGAGAGGAACACUCGUGGCGAAGGCGGGUUCCUGGACAUUAACUGACGCUGAGGCACGAAGGCCAGGGGAGCGAAAGGGAUUAGAUACCCGAGUAGUC